This 779-nucleotide ribosomal RNA is filed under the name uncultured Desulfurococcales archaeon. RNAcentral describes it as "partial 16S ribosomal RNA". It matches the Rfam family "Archaeal small subunit ribosomal RNA", at positions 19 to 746 of the family's 1478-position model. Lineage: Archaea; Thermoproteati; Thermoproteota; Thermoprotei; Desulfurococcales. The record is from RNAcentral.
GGACCCGACUGCUAUCGGGGUAGGGCUAAGCCAUGGAAGUCGAACGCCCCGCCGCUGCGGGGCGUGGCGCACGGCUGAGUAACACGUGGCUAACCUACCCUCGGGAGGGGGAUAACCUCUCGGGAAACUGGGGCUAAUCCCCCAUAGGCGGGGAGGCCUGGAAAGGUUCCCCGCCAAAAGGGGGCGCAGGGGGCCAUCGCCUGCGCUCCGCCCGAGGAUGGGGCUGCGGCCUAUCAGGUAGUUGGCGGGGUAACGGCCCGCCAAGCCGAAGACGGGUAGGGGCCGUGAGAGCGGGAGCCCCCAGAUGGGCACUGAGACAAGGGCCCAGGCCCUACGGGGCGCACCAGGCGCGAAAACUCCGCAAUGCGGGAAACCGUGACGGGGCUACCCCGAGUGCCCCCCUUGUGGGGGCUUUUCCCCGCUGUAAGAAGGCGGGGGAAUAAGCGGGGGGCAAGUCUGGUGUCAGCCGCCGCGGUAAUACCAGCCCCGCGAGACCGGGGCCCUAAACAAGCCCCGGCGCGACUGGUCGGGGUGAUUAUUGGGCCUAAAGCGGCCGUAGCCGGCCCGGUAAGUCCCCCCUGAAAGUCUCGGGCUCAACCCGAGAAGCGGGGGGAUACUGCCGGGCUAGGGGGCGGGAGAGGCCGAGGGUACUCCCGGGGUAGGGGCGAAAUCCUAUAAUCCCGGGAGGACCACCAGUGGCGAAGGCGCUCGGCUGGAACGCGCCCGACGGUGAGGGCCGAAAGCCGGGGGAGCGAACCGGAUUAGAUACCCGGGUAGGC